CAUAGGUUAAUGAGGCGAACCGGGGGAACUGAAACAUCUAAGUACCCCGAGGAAAAGAAAUCAACCGAGAUUCCCCCAGUAGCGGCGAGCGAACGGGGAGCAGCCCAGAGCCUGAAUCAGUAUGUGUGUUAGUGGAAGCGUCUGGAAAGGCGCGCGAUACAGGGUGACAGCCCCGUACACAAAAAUGCACAUGCUGUGAGCUCGAUGAGUAGGGCGGGACACGUGGUAUCCUGUCUGAAUAUGGGGGGACCAUCCUCCAAGGCUAAAUACUCCUGACUGACCGAUAGUGAACCAGUACCGUGAGGGAAAGGCGAAAAGAACCCCGGCGAGGGGAGUGAAAAAGAACCUGAAACCGUGUACGUACAAGCAGUGGGAGCACGCUUAGGCGUGUGACUGCGUACCUUUUGUAUAAUGGGUCAGCGACUUAUAUUCUGUAGCAAGGUUAACCGAAUAGGGGAGCCGAAGGGAAACCGAGUCUUAACUGGGCGUUAAGUUGCAGGGUAUAGACCCGAAACCCGGUGAUCUAGCCAUGGGCAGGUUGAAGGUUGGGUAACACUAACUGGAGGACCGAACCGACUAAUGUUGAAAAAUUAGCGGAUGACUUGUGGCUGGGGGUGAAAGGCCAAUCAAACCGGGAGAUAGCUGGUUCUCCCCGAAAGCUAUUUAGGUAGCGCCUCGUGAAUUCAUCUCCGGGGGUAGAGCACUGUUUCGGCAAGGGGGUCAUCCCGACUUACCAACCCGAUGCAAACUGCGAAUACCGGAGAAUGUUAUCACGGGAGACACACGGCGGGUGCUAACGUCCGUCGUGAAGAGGGAAACAACCCAGACCGCCAGCUAAGGUCCCAAAGUCAUGGUUAAGUGGGAAACGAUGUGGGAAGGCCCAGACAGCCAGGAUGUUGGCUUAGAAGCAGCCAUCAUUUAAAGAAAGCGUAAUAGCUCACUGGUCGAGUCGGCCUGCGCGGAAGAUGUAACGGGGCUAAACCAUGCACCGAAGCUGCGGCAGCGACGCUGAUGCGUUGU
RNAcentral lists this ribosomal RNA (1020 nucleotides) under Escherichia coli. RNAcentral describes it as "partial 23S ribosomal RNA". It matches the Rfam family "Bacterial large subunit ribosomal RNA", at positions 165 to 1224 of the family's 2925-position model. The record is from RNAcentral. Lineage: Bacteria; Pseudomonadati; Pseudomonadota; Gammaproteobacteria; Enterobacterales; Enterobacteriaceae.